GGGGGUGUAACUCAAUGGUAGAGUAUAUGCUUUGCAAGCAUGAGGUUAUCGGUUCAAAUCCGAUCACCUCCA
This 72-nucleotide transfer RNA is filed under the name Chloropicon mariensis. RNAcentral describes it as "tRNA-Ala". It matches the Rfam family "tRNA". From Rfam's summary of the family: Transfer RNA (tRNA) molecules are approximately 80 nucleotides in length. Their secondary structure includes four short double-helical elements and three loops (D, anti-codon, and T loops). The record is from RNAcentral. Lineage: Eukaryota; Viridiplantae; Chlorophyta; Chloropicophyceae; Chloropicales; Chloropicaceae.